Molecule: ribosomal RNA, 467 nt
Filed under: Vibrio neptunius
Lineage: Bacteria; Pseudomonadati; Pseudomonadota; Gammaproteobacteria; Vibrionales; Vibrionaceae
Description: bacterial SSU rRNA
Rfam family: Bacterial small subunit ribosomal RNA
Source: RNAcentral
AGGGCGGCGAGCGGCGGACGGGUGAGUAAUGCCUGGGAAUUGCCCUGAUGUGGGGGAUAACCAUUGGAAACGAUGGCUAAUACCGCAUAAUCUCUUCGGAGCAAAGAGGGGGACCUUCGGGCCUCUCGCGUCAGGAUAUGCCCAGGUGGGAUUAGCUAGUUGGUGAGGUAAGGGCUCACCAAGGCGACGAUCCCUAGCUGGUCUGAGAGGAUGAUCAGCCACACUGGAACUGAGACACGGUCCAGACUCCUACGGGAGGCAGCAGUGGGGAAUAUUGCACAAUGGGCGCAAGCCUGAUGCAGCCAUGCCGCGUGUGUGAAGAAGGCCUUCGGGUUGUAAAGCACUUUCAGUAGGGAGGAAGGUGUUGUCGUUAAUAGCGGCAACAUUUGACGUUACCUACAGAAGAAGCACCGGCUAACUCCGUGCCAGCAGCCGCGGUAAUACGGAGGGUGCGAGCGUUAAUCGGA